GGGAAGAAUUGUAGUGUAUGAUACUUGCGGGUUGGGAAGAAAAUGCAACAAAAUAAAAAUCAACAAGGAAAAAAAAAGAGUGCUCUGGUGUCUGCGCAGGAAGGUAAUGACAACCCCAUCGCUGAUAUGCUGGGAGCUGCAUCUGUAACAACAAAUACCUCUCAUGAUGUGUAGAUUGGUGUUCCUAUGACCAGCAUAAGGCUUGAUUGAUAGGCAUGGGAUGGUUGAAAAAAACAGAGGCGAGGUAGCUCUGCCAAGUGCUCGACCUGUUGUUCCCGAAAUGACUGCGGAGUGCGGAGAAGCUAACAGUUCUGGAACAUGGGCUCUCUGACAUGCAUUGAGUAAAAUCUCAAGUAAUGGAGUCUAUGACCCUCAUGUCAACUCCCACAAACUACACCAGAGCUUUUUUAAAUUUCGCAUAUUAAUGAAUUAUGACUCAAAACUCAUUACUACCGUCCGUCAUGUUAGUGUAUGUGUUUUGUUUUCAAAAUUUUGUAUCUAAUCAACUAAGCUCUGUUUUUCAAAAAAAAAAUUUAGAACAUGUUUAAAAUUAGUCUUCGGAUUAAUAGAAUAACUUACAUCCCAUUAGAUCAAUACGAAUGCUCAUCCCAGUAAUAAUCUCAUUUUCCUCCUCAGUACCUAUCACAAUCACCAAAAUCUUCUCCACCAACAAAGUUUACAGCUAAUACGUAAUAGGCAAAUAACCUCCUAAAUUGUAUAUGACUUAUUAUCUUCAAACCAAAUUUCAUUUCAAUACAACUACACAUUAUUAAACAAUAUAGCUCAACUUCAAAGAUGUAACCACAUUUACCAUCAUAUAAUUUCCCUUCUCCAGAACUAAGCCAGUUUCCGGUGAGUUCCAAUUACUAAAUAAAUAAACUAAACUUUAACACAAUUAGUGAGUUAAUUUACAGUAUAAACAAUAAUAUUUAACACUCAAAUAUGUAAUAAAUUAGAUUAGUAGUAAAAUAUAUUCAAAAGAUAUACAGCCUCUGUUUUUUGAAAAAAUAUAAGUUUUAAUAUUUUUCAUACAUAUUAAAAUAUAUUAAAUAUUAAUUAUCUAUGCAUAAACUUUAUAAUUAAAUAUAUCUCAAAAAUUUAACCAAUAAAAUUACAUUUUAUAUUAUGUUUUAAAUUAAUGUUUAGUUAAUUUCUAACUCAUACACAUUACAUCUAUAAUUUGAAAUAAAGAACGCACAAAAAACUAUGAGUUCUAACAUUUCAAAUUUACUAGACAAAGAAUAUAAUAUAAAUAGUUUUAAAUUUUUAUAAUAAAUUCUAAUGUAUAUAUGUACAUUUAUAUUCAAAUAAAAACUGUAAUAGAAAAAUAAUUAAAUUAUAGAACAAAAAAUCCCGGGCGUAGCCCGGACAAACAACUAGUACAAAUAAAUGAGGAACAUCUUUUUCUCCAAAAAUGAGAUGCAUUAGAAAAUGGGAAAAUACAGAUUUCAAUACUAUAAGGCAACCAAUUAAUAAAAGAAUAAAAGAGAAAAUUGGAAAAAAUAGACACUUUUAACUAAGAUUUGUCCCAAUAGAAUUUGUAGAAGAUUAUUUAGGUAACUAAGAUUUAUAUUCUCUUUAAUACCAUUAUAUCCUUCAAUUAACUUAAUUAAUCUUAAUAUUUUGUAAUUGAUUAAGUUUUAUUAAAAAGGGAAAAAUAAAAACAGAAAAAAGAAUAUUAAUAGAAAUCCACGAAAGAGUUAAAACAAUUCGUUUAACCCUAAUUUCCUUUUCCCUUUCAUCUUCUUCUCCAACGUACCUUCAACCCCUAUCAAUGGUGAUUUAAGGUGAGCAGAGAAUACUUGUUUCUUUAUCGGAAAUCAUCAAUUAUUUCGUCUCUAAUCUCGUUUUCGUCUUUCCUCCUUUUUAUUUCGUCUCUAAUGGUGAUUUGUUCUCUACGAUUUCGUCAGACAGUCUCUUCUUUCUCUUCGCUUCACACUCUGUAUCAUCAGUAGAUAGUGAAUGUGUUUUUAUGUUACAGUAUGAGUUAUUUUGGUUCUAAUGAAAUUGAUGAUUGUUGUUUAGGUCAUGUCGGUGAUGAUAUGUUACAGUCACGUCUUUACCCACCUCCUCUGUUGUGAUUAUUCGUUUUGGCCAAAGAUUGAGCUUAUAUUUUGGUAUUAGCUCAGUGAUUCUCGAGGGGCUAUCUCUUUUAUUAGGAGUUACCUUCUAAUCAAGGUUCUUCUGUCUAUAUGUUCAUUGCUGACAGAUCCAAACCCUGAUGAUCCUUUGGUUCCAGAAAUAGCUCACACCUACAAGACAGACCGGUGUCAAGUACGAGAGCACUGCCCGAUCGUGGACCCAGAAGUAUGCAAUGGGACAAUGAUGAUUGUCAAUAAUAAUCUCACAAGUACAUUGCGCAUUGUCUAAGAAUAUGAGAAAUAAGAUCGAAAAAAACUGAAUGUGGUGUUUGCUUGGUUGCUUUAUUAGUUCUAUCAUCUUAAUCAGUGUGUUGGUGUACAUGAGCUUUAUAUUGAGACAUUUUGAGAACUUGCAAUGCUUUAAAGCCAAUAAUUGGCUAUUAUGAUUAUGAUGAGUCAGUAUUAACGACA
Long non-coding RNA from Brassica rapa (field mustard), 2552 nucleotides. RefSeq lists it as uncharacterized. NCBI's taxonomy places the organism in Eukaryota, Viridiplantae, Streptophyta, Magnoliopsida, Brassicales, Brassicaceae. The record is from RefSeq and is a predicted model, not a curated record.